AUCUAUAGAGCCGCCGCCCUAUCUCUGGCCGCCAGAGACCAUCCUCUCCCCACGUCUGAACACUCCCACUACCCCGGGCGUCCCCCAUUCCCCACCCCACCAUCGCGAGAUGCUGGAUCGAGCCCAUCCCCGCCGCCACGGUCGCCGGCUUGCCGUCCCAAUCCAAGCACUGACAAAUUCUUAAUCUGCUACUCUACUUUGUUGCAUCCCCAUGCCAGCCCGGGCGAGGCGGAGCCAUUGGAUCGAUAGCACGCGUGCUAUAUGUGCGUGUGCGUGCGCCUGAAUGCUAGGGCGGCGUGCAGGAGCCCCCCUUCUCCUCCCUUUUCCUCUCUCCCCACGCUCAUAGUGGAGCUUGAGCUGAGCGGAAGUUCUUGGGGGCAUAGGAACAAGACGGUCAGGUAGAAGGCAUGGACGUUGGGGAUGGCUAUGCGCGGAGGAGGGCGCGAACGCUGGGAUGGAUGCUAGCUGGCCUGGCCGACGAGUGCAUCAAGAUUGAUAAGUGUAAUGUUAUUAAUUUUGCUGAUCUGCCCUGAUAUACUGCUAUUGCAUAUAUAAAGAGACCAUAGAGGAAAGCACUGCUGCGAUUUUCUCAUGCUGCUACUGGUUUUCUUCAUGCUGUUACUUGCUUACUGAUUACAACUGGUGCUACUAGGUACUCGCUUCAUGAUAUGUAGAUAUGUAUGCUGCUUCUAGGUACUUGUAAACAUGGUGACAAGGGACCGGUGCUGCUUGCUACAGCGGUAGGCGUCUGGUGGCCAUGCAGUUGCAGCUGCUACUUAGAUACAUAAUGUAGCCGGCAAUGGUGAGAAGACUUUGAUCUUGAUAUAUUAUAUGCAAGCCCCAUACACCAUAGGAGGUCCUCCUUUUUGGUGAUAUCAGCCGGGGAUGAAAUAAAGAGAAGAAAAAAAUUCCUGUGA
This is a long non-coding RNA of Triticum aestivum (bread wheat), 917 nucleotides long. RefSeq lists it as uncharacterized. The transcript is spliced from 2 exons. Lineage: Eukaryota; Viridiplantae; Streptophyta; Magnoliopsida; Poales; Poaceae. The record is from RefSeq and is a predicted model, not a curated record.